Molecule: long non-coding RNA, 523 nt
Filed under: Nicotiana benthamiana
Lineage: Eukaryota; Viridiplantae; Streptophyta; Magnoliopsida; Solanales; Solanaceae
Description: long non-coding RNA (NBEN_LNC026003)
Source: RNAcentral
AACACUUGAAAGUUUGAAAAAGAAAACCUUUUGAAGAAACUUGGGACGAAAAUCCUACUUUCAGAGAAGCACUUAAAUUGGAAUAGUAAUAAAAAAAGUAAAAGAACUUUGAGGAAAAAUAUCUAGUAGCACUUAAACCUUCCAGAUCUACAAGGAUCUAGACAUACCCAAAUAGUUAUAAGACUAGGGUUUUCAAAAAUAGCAGAGAUGAAAGAAACUCUGUCCAAAACCAUAGAUUCAAACCAAAAAUAGGCAAGAAAUCGUACUCAUGAAUGAGAAUGGCCAAUGACAGGCCUGUGAGACAGAUUUUGACUAAAUCCGGUUGAAUCUCUUUGAGAUUCUCUCAUAAAUCAAUGAAGUCGAAUAACCAGAAGACGUAACAGCUCGGCAAGGGCAGGAAAUUACACAGAAACCCCGUGGACGAGGAGUUUUACAAGUGACAGUAGCUAGGUUUUAGGAGGUGUUUGAGAGAGAAUGGUGAGAUUAGGGAAAGUGAUGACACUAGAAGAGAGGGGUAAAUGGG